This is a small nucleolar RNA of Drosophila melanogaster (fruit fly), 68 nucleotides long. Lineage: Eukaryota; Metazoa; Arthropoda; Insecta; Diptera; Drosophilidae. The record is from Ensembl.
CUUCUCUGAUGAUCUUUUACACAGACCUGUACUGAGCUCAUAACCGUGCAGAAAAUUGUAAACUGAAA